This 301-nucleotide ribosomal RNA is filed under the name uncultured bacterium. Its description in RNAcentral is "partial 16S ribosomal RNA". It matches the Rfam family "Bacterial small subunit ribosomal RNA", at positions 509 to 807 of the family's 1533-position model. The record is from RNAcentral.
CAGCCGCCGCGGUAAAACAGAGGGUGCGAGCGUUAAUCGGAUUUACUGGGCGUAAAGCGUGCGUAGGCGGCUAAUUGAGUCGGAUGUGAAAUCCCCGAGCUUAACUUGGGAAUUGCAUUCGAUACUGGUUAGCUAGAGUGUGGGAGAGGAUGGUAGAAUUCCAGGUGUAGCGGUGAAAUGCGUAGAGAUCUGGAGGAAUACCGAUGGCGAAGGCAGCCAUCUGGCCUAACACUGACGCUGAGGUACGAAAGCAUGGGGAGCAAACAGGAUUAGAUACCCGAGUAGUCCCUGUCUCUUAUAC